Molecule: long non-coding RNA, 269 nt
Filed under: Nicotiana tabacum (common tobacco)
Lineage: Eukaryota; Viridiplantae; Streptophyta; Magnoliopsida; Solanales; Solanaceae
Description: long non-coding RNA (NTAB_LNC007420)
Source: RNAcentral
CGCCGGAGCUCAAAACAACCGAUCGGGUUGUUACAAUAAAUUAAAAAUUUAGAAUAUGAUUUGAAUUUUUGUGGAUAUGAGUUGAACAUUUAGGAUAUGAAUUGAACCUUUAGGAUAUUAGUUUAUGUAUUGGAAUUUUAGUUUAUAAAUUGAAAUUUUAGGAUAUGACUUGAACAUUUGUGGAUAUGAGUUGAACCUUUAGGAUAUGAAAUUGAACCUUUAGGAUAUUAGUUUAUGUAUUGGAAUUUUAGUUUAUAAAUUGAAAUUUU